This 410-nucleotide long non-coding RNA is filed under the name Mytilus galloprovincialis (Mediterranean mussel). The record is from RNAcentral. Lineage: Eukaryota; Metazoa; Mollusca; Bivalvia; Mytilida; Mytilidae.
AUUAGUUUUAAAAAUUGCAAAAAUAUAUGGUUUUAAUGUCUUUAAACAAACUGGUUAAUUUAUAACACAGAAAAUUGAUGUGUUGCAAAUGAAAUCUUGCAAAAUAGUUGACGGAGUUACAUUGUUUACCUGUUGAAAAGCCAUGUGACAAAGUUUACUAAACUUUAGACCCUUUGUUUGUACAUCACCCGAGUUGAACUUUGAUAAAUGCAAGCUUGUUUUUAUCAUUCAUGACUAUGAAAUACAUUGCAAAUGAAAUACAGAUUUACUUUUUAAUAAAUAUUGCCGCAAUUUAGCGCCCAAAUUCUAUUUUCAAACAAUUAAACCGCGGUAAUUAAUCCGCACAAUAAUGGGAACAAUGGCUUUUGUUCCUCUUUGUAAUUUAAAUUUCCAAACUUAUGAGACAAAAG